ACCUUAGUAGCUUAAUGGAAGAGUAUCAGACAUGUAUUCUGAAGACUCAGGUUCGAUUCCUGGCUAGGGGU
RNAcentral lists this transfer RNA (71 nucleotides) under Folsomia candida. It matches the Rfam family "tRNA". Rfam says of the family: Transfer RNA (tRNA) molecules are approximately 80 nucleotides in length. Their secondary structure includes four short double-helical elements and three loops (D, anti-codon, and T loops). Lineage: Eukaryota; Metazoa; Arthropoda; Collembola; Entomobryomorpha; Isotomidae. The record is from Rfam by way of RNAcentral.